UCAGUCAGUUUGUGUUAUCAUAUUGAUCUCUUUGACAUUAGCCUGCUGAAAGAACAAAAUAAUCCUUUCAGUUUCAGAUUGUGGUUUGUAUGAUUUUUUUUCUCUAUAGAUUAAUUUGAGAUGUGCAUUGAAAACUAGGAUGUUCUGUACCAAUUGCUAAACUGAAUUGGAGAACUGUUGUUUUUCUGCACAGAAAUGCAAAUAUCCUGGUGCUCUUUUGGGACAAGUGUUGUUUCUAUGAAGAGAAAUGCAAAUAUACUUCAAAUACACUAUAUAGAUGGAUUUGCUGAGAAAGGUUGGUGCAGCUAGAGAAGUUAAUUGUUUUUUAUUGUUUGGACAUUAAAAUGUCAUGAUUAUAGGGUGGAACCAAGCAUUAGCUAGCUUGAUCAAAUUAUAUGGUAGAAUAUGCCAGACAUGCAUGUUUAAUGUAGAAUAAGCUAUAUAUUUUCCUGGUGAAUGG
Molecule: long non-coding RNA, 460 nt
Organism: Panicum virgatum (switchgrass)
Lineage: Eukaryota; Viridiplantae; Streptophyta; Magnoliopsida; Poales; Poaceae
Exons: 2
Source: RefSeq, a predicted model, not a curated record